GGUGAGUAACACGUGGGUAACCUUCCUGUAAGACUGGGAUAACUCCGGGAAACCGGGGCUAAUACCGGAUGGUUGUUUGAACCGCAUGGUUCAAACAUAAAAGGUGGCUUCGGCUACCACUUACAGAUGGACCCGCGGCGCAUUAGCUAGUUGGUGAGGUAAUGGCUCACCAAGGCAACGAUGCGUAGCCGACCUGAGAGGGUGAUCGGCCACACUGGGACUGAGACACGGCCCAGACUCCUACGGGAGGCAGCAGUAGGGAAUCUUCCGCAAUGGACGAAAGUCUGACGGAGCAGCGCCGCGUGAGUGAUGAAGGUUUUCGGGUCGUAAAGCUCUGUUGUCAGGGAAGAACAAGUACCGUUCGAAUAGGGCGGUACCUUGACGGUACCUAACCAGAAAGCCACGGCUAACUACGUGCCAGCAGCCGCGGUAAUACGUAGGUGGCAAGCGUUGUCCGGAAUUAUUGGGCGUAAAGGGCUCGCAGGCGGUUUCUUAAGUCUGAUGUGAAAGCCCCCGGCUCAACCGGGGAGGGUCAUUGGAAACUGGGGAACUUGAGUGCANAAGANGAGAGUGGAAUUCCACGUGUAGCGGUGAAAUGCGUAGAGAUGUGGAGGAACACCAGUGGCGAAGGCGACUCUCUGGUCUGUAACUGACGCUGAGGAGCGAAAGCGUGGGGAGCGAACAGGAUUANAUACCCUGGUAGUCCACGCC
RNAcentral lists this ribosomal RNA (711 nucleotides) under uncultured bacterium. RNAcentral's name for it is "bacterial SSU rRNA". It matches the Rfam family "Bacterial small subunit ribosomal RNA", at positions 105 to 801 of the family's 1533-position model. The record is from RNAcentral.